RNA transcript from Brassica oleracea var. oleracea, 2001 nucleotides. It is a transcript of the gene named glutathione S-transferase T3-like, with no coding region annotated. NCBI's taxonomy places the organism in Eukaryota, Viridiplantae, Streptophyta, Magnoliopsida, Brassicales, Brassicaceae. The record is from RefSeq and is a predicted model, not a curated record. The transcript has 4 exons.
UGAAAGUUCUUAACUAAGUCUCUUAACCAAAUUUACUAUUUAAAUAGUAUUAAAAAUUAAUUGGGAGACCCUUAACGGGUCUUUAGGAUAAUGAUGCUUAUAAGUUCAUGGUGUAUAUACCAUGCCUGUAGUAUUCAAAUUCUAUCAAUACGAAAGACAAUAAAUAUAUAUAUUCAACUCUAUUUUUUUAUGAAAACCCUUUAUAAAAAAAACUAUAUUUUAUAAAAAAACUAUUAGACAUGUUUAUAACCUGGGUUUUUUAUGUUCUUUCUCCAUUACUACUUUGCUUCAUAUGAUAUUUUACAUACGUAAACAAGUAAUUAGCUAACAAAAUUUAACAUAUCCGAUGUGUAGACAUAUAUUUUUUAUAAUUUACAAUAAGAACAAACAAAAAAAGGUUAAUUAGCAGCAGGCGAAUUAAGCAUUACCCAAGCGCAGUAGGGAUUUAACUGUAUUGUCAAUGACAAUUUGUCAUCAUUAAAGUUGAAUUGAAGUGAUUAAUAAGCAUCUUUUAAUCUUUUAUUGGAUUAUCUAAUACUUACGUUGCUUAAUAGCAGUAACUAAAGAUCUAAAAACCUUAGAAUAAACAUCAAUCAUUGGACAAUUGCAUAAAUUUUCGUUUUCUGUCACAAACUUAAGUACAAGUAUACUUAGGAAUUUCGUGUUAUUUAGCGCGGUUUGACUUUCACGUACGUAUUGUUAACCAUAUAACUUCAAGCAAGUAACUAUUUAUUAAAUAUAACUGGGGCUCGUCAUGCAGCCAGCACAACAUUGACUUUACAAUAUCUAUACAGUAAGACCAUGUUUAUCGCAGAACCUAAAGGGUUUCUUAGUGUUAAUUGUUGAAUUAAUUAAAUCCAAAGAAAAGAAAAACCAAGAUUACCGAUCCUUACUGGAGGGUUUUGGGAAUCGGUUUUAUGGUGGUUUUUCAAACACGUGGCAGCACCACAAUUUAUCUUUUUUUUUCCAUUUCUUUUCUCUCUCUUUCUUGGUUUUUUGCAUUUUCGUUUCAUUCUUGUUUUCUCCGAGAGACGAGAAAGAGAAGAUCGAAACCGACGAAAGACGACGACUCCGUCGGUCCCGUCGACGUCUCCGUUUUCUCCGUCAGAAGAUUGAUCGGAAGCCACCACAGAGGACGAUUUGCGCUCUCCUCACCGCUUCUCCUCCGUCUUCUCUCGAGUUAUCCGUCAGAAGACCGAUCGAGAGCAUGCACAAACGAAGACGACUCUCUCGUUCCUCACGGCGACUCCUUCCUCUUGAACUCGAUAGGUGUGUGCUUUCUCUUGAUUCUAUUUUCAUCUCUGAAACUACUCUCUGAAGAAUUGGGGAUGAAAGCUUCGUGAUGGACUACGAAACGUUUGAUAGCAGCAGGUUUACGCAAGUUGUGCACUUUCUCAGAUUGAGCAGGAAGCAUACAUAUCUAUCAUUAGUUAGUUGGGUACUUCAAUGAAUCUCAGGAAAAGGACAGUCUUAUACCAGAACUGCGUAAAGAGUUGAAAGUGUCAAACGAGGACAUUGAGAGCUUCUCCGUCUGAUCCGUGUGUCUCUCAGCUAUCGCUCACGAUCUCUUCAAACUGAGAAACAGAAGUUGUGAUAUGAAGCAAGCCACAAGAUUCUUAUUGAAGUCAGAAGAAGCAAGAGAAGUCACGGGUGUGUAUGUUUGUAUGUCUGUAUUAGUCACAAGUUUGUCACGAGUCUGUAUGUCUGUAUUAGUCAAGAGUGUGUCAAGUUUGUCACGGGUCUUUGGUAUGUUUGUCACGAGAGUGCUUUACUUCUCUCCUUUUCUAUAUAAGUCACAAGUUUUGUAUACAAAAUUCGCAAGUUUACUUCUCUCCUUUUCUAAAUAUAUCAAAGUCUCAUUCGCAAAACACUCUUUUUCGUCAUCUUCUACUUGAUCAUCUCCUUUGCCAAAACACUCUUUCUCAUCAUCAUAUCUUCUACUUAAUCAUCUCAUUCGCCAAAUACACUCGUUUCAAAAAAAAAAAAUCAAAACACAUUUUA